ACGAACGCUGGCGGCGCGCUUAACACAUGCAAGUCGAACGGAGAGGCCUGCUUUCCCUUGUGGAUUGCGGGUACUCGAGUGGCGAACGGGUGAGUAACACGUGAGUGAUCUGCCCCCAACUUGGGUAUAAGCCUGGGAAACUGGGUCUAAUUCCCGAUAGGACUGCAGGGUGGUGCCUGUGGUGGAAAACGAUUUUCUAGUGGUUGGGGAUGAGCUCGCGGCCUAUCAGCUUGUUGGUGGGGUAAUGGCCUACCAAGGCGGCGACGGGUAGCCGGCCUGAGAGGGUGGACGGCCACAUUGGGACUGAGAUACGGCCCAGACUCCUACGGGAGGCAGCAGUGGGGAAUAUUGCACAAUGGGCGGAAGCCUGAUGCAGCGACGCCGCGUGGGGGAUGACGGCCUUCGGGUUGUAAACUCCUUUCGACCGCGAGGAAGCCACCUGGUUGGAAGGGUGGUGACGGUAGUGGUAGAAGAAGCACCGGCUAACUACGUG
Molecule: ribosomal RNA, 493 nt
Filed under: uncultured bacterium
Lineage: Bacteria
Description: partial 16S ribosomal RNA
Rfam family: Bacterial small subunit ribosomal RNA
Source: RNAcentral